RNAcentral lists this ribosomal RNA (253 nucleotides) under uncultured bacterium. RNAcentral's name for it is "partial 16S ribosomal RNA". It matches the Rfam family "Bacterial small subunit ribosomal RNA", at positions 524 to 776 of the family's 1533-position model. The record is from RNAcentral.
GACGUAGGGGGCGAGCGUUGUCCGGAUUUAUUGGGCGUAAAGCGCGCGUAGGCGGUCCGUUAAGUCGGAUGUGAAAAUCCGGGGCUCAACCCCGGACCUGCAUCCGAUACUGGCGGGCUGGAGGCAGGCAGGGGAGAUCGGAAUUCCUGGUGUAGCGGUGAAAUGCGCAGAUAUCAGGAGGAACACCGGUGGCGAAGGCGGAUCUCUGGGCCUGUCCUGACGCUCAGGCGCGAAAGCUAGGGGAGCAAACAGG